RNAcentral lists this small RNA (571 nucleotides) under Pan troglodytes (chimpanzee). Its description in RNAcentral is "retained intron". The record is from RNAcentral. Lineage: Eukaryota; Metazoa; Chordata; Mammalia; Primates; Hominidae.
GUGCUUAUUUGCAGUCUAAAGAAAUUUCCUUUUGGUCAGAAGAUAUAGUUCAAGGAGUUUAAAUUGGUGUGGGAGGCCAUCAGGAUUCCUCUGAGCUGGGCUGGUUGGGAAGAGAGGCGUCUGUGGCUUUAUUUCUUUUUCGUUAUCUGUAGAUGUGGCAGAAAAUCGAGGAUGUGGAGUGGAGACCCCAGACUUACUUGGAGCUGGAGGGUCUGCCUUGCAUCCUGAUCUUCAGUGGGAUGGACCCGCAUGGGGAGUCCUUGCCGAGGUCUUUGAGGUACUGUGACCUGCGAUUGAUAAACUCCUCCUGCUUGGUGAGAACAGCCUUGGAGCAGGAGCUGGGCCUGGCUGCCUACUUUGUGAGCAACGAGGUUCCCUUGGAGAAGGGGGCUAGGAACGAGGCCUUGGAGAGUGAUGCCGAGAAGCUGAGCAGCACAGACAACGAGGAUGAGGAGCUGGGGACAGAAGGCUCUACCUCGGAGAAGAGAAGCCCCAUGAAAAGGGAGAGGUCCCGCUCCCACGACUCAGCAUCCUCAUCCCUCUCCUCCAAGGCUUCCGGUUCAGCGCUCGG